This 1369-nucleotide ribosomal RNA is filed under the name uncultured bacterium. RNAcentral describes it as "bacterial SSU rRNA". It matches the Rfam family "Bacterial small subunit ribosomal RNA", at positions 28 to 1381 of the family's 1533-position model. The record is from RNAcentral.
GACGAACGCUGGCGGCGUGCCUAAUACAUGCAAGUAGAACGCUGAAGAGAGGAGCUUGCUCUUCUUGGAUGAGUUGCGAACGGGUGAGUAACGCGUAGGUAACCUGCCUUGUAGCGGGGGAUAACUAUUGGAAACGAUAGCUAAUACCGCAUAACAAUGGAUGACACAUGUCAUUUAUUUGAAAGGGGCAAUUGCUCCACUACAAGAUGGACCUGCGUUGUAUUAGCUAGUAGGUGAGGUAACGGCUCACCUAGACGACGAUACAUAGCCGACCUGAGAGGGUGAUCGGCCACACUGGGACUGAGACACGGCCCAGACUCCUACGGGAGGCAGCAGUAGGGAAUCUUCGGCAAUGGGGGCAACCCUGACCGAGCAACGCCGCGUGAGUGAAGAAGGUUUUCGGAUCGUAAAGCUCUGUUGUAAGUCAAGAACGAGUGUGAGAGUGGAAAGUUCACACUGUGACGGUAGCUUACCAGAAAGGGACGGCUAACUACGUGCCAGCAGCCGCGGUAAUACGUAGGUCCCGAGCGUUGUCCGGAUUUAUUGGGCGUAAAGCGAGCGCAGGCGGUUUGAUAAGUCUGAAGUUAAAGGCUGUGGCUCAACCAUAGUUCGCUUUGGAAACUGUCAAACUUGAGUGCAGAAGGGGAGAGUGGAAUUCCAUGUGUAGCGGUGAAAUGCGUAGAUAUAUGGAGGAACACCGGUGGCGAAAGCGGCUCUCUGGUCUGUAACUGACGCUGAGGCUCGAAAGCGUGGGGAGCGAACAGGAUUAGAUACCCUGGUAGUCCACGCCGUAAACGAUGAGUGCUAGGUGUUGGAUCCUUUCCGGGAUUCAGUGCCGCAGCUAACGCAUUAAGCACUCCGCCUGGGGAGCACGACCGCAAGGUUGAAACUCAAAGGAAUUGACGGGGGCCCGCACAAGCGGUGGAGCAUGUGGUUUAAUUCGAAGCAACGCGAAGAACCUUACCAGGUCUUGACAUCCCGAUGCUAUUUCUAGAGAUAGAAAGUUACUUCGGUACAUCGGUGACAGGUGGUGCAUGGUUGUCGUCAGCUCGUGUCGUGAGAUGUUGGGUUAAGUCCCGCAACGAGCGCAACCCCUAUUGUUAGUUGCCAUCAUUCAGUUGGGCACUCUAGCGAGACUGCCGGUAAUAAACCGGAGGAAGGUGGGGAUGACGUCAAAUCAUCAUGCCCCUUAUGACCUGGGCUACACACGUGCUACAAUGGUUGGUACAACGAGUUGCGAGUCGGUGACGGCAAGCUAAUCUCUUAAAGCCAAUCUCAGUUCGGAUUGUAGGCUGCAACUCGCCUACAUGAAGUCGGAAUCGCUAGUAAUCGCGGAUCAGCACGCCGCGGUGAAUACGUUCCCGGGCCU